UGAGAUGUGCUGGGGUCUACAAAGCCCACACUGGGCACCCAGGGGUGAAGGAGCUGCUCUGGGCCAGCCAGCCAGCCCUGCCACACCUGCGAGAGAUGCACAGACUGGAGGAGGAGCUAAAAGGGAGCAGACCCGCUCACUGGGGGGCAGGCCAGGGCUGAGAGCCGACCCACAACUCGCAGCUCCUGAGGAAUGGGCUGAGAGCAGGGACUGCCCCAGCAGGGGAGAGACUUGGCGGCCCUGACCUGGCCGCAGGGCCAAGGCCCGGGAGCAGGCAGCUGCCGCCCUGAGAGAGAGAACGGCCACACCUGGCCAUGAGGAGGCGCCCAGUGCAACCUGCAGCCAGCCCAGGAUCCAGAGCUGGAAUCUCACCACCUGUGGGCCAACAUGCACAGCGUGUUCACCAUGGGCAUGGACAAGGACCCUCCGAGGAGCAGGAGCAGCCUCUGGGCCCCACUCCCUCUGCUCUUGGAGCUGCUGAGAUAGGGGAUGAGGCUCUGCCUCAUGCCUAGCUGAGACUCUGGAUAGAACGCUGAGGAGCCUGCUGCAGCGACCCCAACACGGACCAGCUGCAGCACGUCUCGGAGCAUGUCGACUUCUGGAUCCAGUCCGGAGCCAGGGGAGAGCCAGGGCCAUGAGGAGCAGCACCGCCCUGCUGCGAUUCCCCACCUGCCUCCUGGGAUUUGACGCUUCUUCAGAGGCCCCAUCAGUUCUCUCCUUUCAAUCAGUGGAAAGUGCCUGCACAAUUUUCAAGGUACCAGUGGAAAAUCUGAAUGGUUGUCCUCGGAAGAAGAGCGCUGGGUGGCUCGAAUGCUUGUCUCAACAGAAGUUGGUCUCACAAAAGACGUUACCUCUCCCCUCUCUAACAGAGGAAAAUACAGUCCACUGAUCCAGCCCCCAGCCAGCGUGCUGUCCUAAAGCAGCCAUGCUGUACGUGCCGUGAUUUAUUUAGUCUGGUUCUUGGUGUUUUGCUCCAAUGAUUGGAAACACUCCUUGGAGAAUCCAAUUUUCUGCCUACUUUAUUUUGUCACCAUUAGUGCAAGGAUCAAAGCCCUCCUGUUUGACCAAUAGGGCACCAUAGCAAUGGAAAUGUCUGCUACCACCACUUGCUGAAAACAUACUCGGACAUUGCACAGGGGAUUCUGCUCUUUCCAUUUUCCCAGUGGUUUGAAAAACUAGUUUAAAUUUACAGAGCAGGAGUUUGUUAGCAGUGGCUGAGAACUGUGAAGUCACUGUUCUUCCCCAUGUUGGUGUGAUUCUUAUUUACUCUUGCAGCUCUAGCCAGCACUGAAGUCAAACAGUACAAAUCAGUCAGCUCGCUCAACUGCCUGAAUGUUCAGAACCUUUUUACAAAGCAGCCGAGUGACCUACUCAGCAGAACCUUCUAUUUAGGUGGCUUGUUUGCAUAAGACAUCUCUAAGAAAUACCCCACAGUCCAGACCUCUGUUAACGUCCCACAAUCUUACAACCCCUGCCAGCUGAGCAGCUUGGUAUCUCUCACAUGCAUUAAUCAAGUGUGGUGAGACUCAGUUAUUAUAGACAAGGAAACUGAGGCACAGAAAGGCUAAGGGACUUGCUUGUAAGUCUAGGUUCCUAAUUCAUAGUCACAUGCCCUGGCCGCCUCCCAGGAAGGGUGGGUAAAUAGGGCUAACACGUAAUUAAUGCUCCUACCAGCAUAGCAUUUUCUUUUUAGGGUAAUUUCAAUUUGAAGAGUCAAAAAGAAUGAAGGGAAGACUGCUGACAAUAUCAGGUCUAGAGUGGGAAACAUCUCAUUAGCAACAAUUAUUCAGAUAGGAUCAGGGUUUGUACUCUAAGUCUGGUUUGCACCCCUCCAGUGCAACCAAAGCAACUGGUGUCCAGGGGAAUUCCCAGGUGCCAUAUGAUUGGUGAUGCAGCUCCUAGGCCAUCCCUCUCCACUAAGCACAGGGGGCAUGGCCAGGCAAAAGGGAUUGUGUCUGUUCUGCUGAUGCUGUAAUGGCCCCGGGGGGCCAUUGGCCGCUCUGUGGCAGGUGAAGCAUCCCUGAGCACGUCUCAGUCAGUCCAGCAAAUCUGGAUCAGACUUUUCCCCCCACUAGUAUAAUAUGCAAUUGAACUAUUUUUGGAAGGGACCAUUCACUUGCUGUUCUAACCUGUUUAGUCUUGCAAUGCCCCGCUCACCAGUUUGUGCAUUUCAACCCUGAUGUGGCUGUAUAGGAUUGUAUUUAGGUGCUGGUUUUACUAGGAAUUUAUUAUAGCUGCAUGUGGUACUAAGAGGUCUCUACGUAUUAAUUGCAUUGAUUCUCUUUCCCAGUUCAUGCAAAUCGACAGAACAAUUACCCCAGAGCGCACCUGUUCUGCUGACUUGGUACUUUAUCAGUCACACAGUACCUGCAGGGGGCACGAUGAACGUAUAAUACCUUCAAUUCUUAUGGUCUAGGAACACUAUUAUAAACAUUGUAGAUAGAGACAGAUGUUACCACUGAAAGGGUUGUAAUGGUCCCUCAGCUGGGUUUUUGGUACUUCAUGGACAGUGCCUAACCCGAGGCUGGAAGGAUUGACAGAACUGCUAUUUUGGAGGGUCUGAUGCCCCACACAUCAGUGAUCCAUCACCAUGCAUUUCCCAGCUCACCAUUUGUGACAACUGCCUGCCACGGUCAGCAGCAAGGACUGACCCAGAGCCCUCUCACCUAAAAAGGGUCACACAUGAACUGCUACUGCUUGAGCUAAAUCAGUAAAUCUAGCUGGAGCCUGUAGCAGACUCAAAGGCCUUGUGUGGAACCAGCCACUUGAGGGAGACAAAACCCAAACGACAGGUUUCAGAGUAACAGCCGUGUUAGUCUGUAUUCGCAAAAAGAAAAGGAGUACUUGUGGCACCUUAGAGACUGACCAAUUUAUUUGAGCAUGAGCUUUCGGCUGUAGCUCACGAAAGCUCGUGCUCAAAUAAAUUGGUUAGUCUCUAUGGCGCCACAAGUACUCCUUUUCUUUUUGCGAAAACCCAAACUGAGUUAAUGAGGGGGACACACACGUAUCUUACCCUCAGAAACUGACUGAUAAAUACCUUUUAGCGGGGCUGCACACACAUAGAUCCUGCUGCAGGAUUGGGGCCUUCAUUAGCAAUCAAAAGGGCUGAAAAAUAAUAGAACCAAAAAUUCCCAAAGAUGUCAAAAAUAUGAUGAUGGGAACACUGAAUGCUAAUUUACUUUUUUCUAAAGAACUGAACUUAAAAAUAAACCCCACAAUCACUUGGUUAGAGCUGCUGCUUUAAUUUGAAUCCGAAUGUAGGACAGUACCUUUCCUACAUGCAUGUCCUUAGCAAGGAACUAUAGAAAGAUAUCUUCAUUUCCAUAAAACAUAGGGCAUUUUGUAAAAUCAAAUUAUGGAACAUUUAAAAUGUAUAAAGUGAUAACCUCACUCUGCAUUCUUUAUAUCCAAAUACAAAAUUUAGAAUUUGAAACACUAUUUCUAAACAUCCCAGAAAUUAUAUAUACACAUAUUUAAUAUGGAAAUCAAGGCCAUCCAGAUAAUAUCAUACUGGCAAACUUAAAGUGACUCCCUAAUUUAAUUUAAUUUAAUUUUUUACUGUUCAAUAUUCAUUAGUCCAGAAUUAAAGUUUAUCACUGACCCAUUGCUGAGCUAUGGGGAAAUUUAAAUUGUGGCCAACUCUUCUGAGCUGAGUUUGCUUGCUUGCACCAUGAAUUCAGUAGCACAUUUGGAAUGUUAGGGUAUGUCUACAUUGUGGAGA
Molecule: long non-coding RNA, 3721 nt
Organism: Chelonia mydas (Green sea turtle)
Lineage: Eukaryota; Metazoa; Chordata; Testudines; Cheloniidae
Exons: 6
Source: RefSeq, a predicted model, not a curated record